UAAAACUCAAGUAUAAAAUAAGUUUGUUUGGAAACAUGUAUAGCAAUUUUUAAAAAAAGUUUGUUUGGAAACAUAAAUUACAAUUUUUAAAAAAAAAUUGUUUAGAAACAUGGAUUGCAGUUUAAAAAAAAUGUUUGUUUGGAAACAUAGAUAACAGUAUAUUAAGAGAAAUCAAAAUAAUGAGCUUAUAUUUUUAAGAAAAUUUGGAUGUCCAUUAUAUAAUGAGAAACUAUCUAUCUGGUACCUAUUCGGGUUCGGUUCAGGUAUGUUUGGGUUUCGGGUUUCCGGGGUCAAAGAUUUCAGCGUCAUUCUAAUAUUUCUAAAUUUUAGUUCGGGUUCGCUUUGGAUUUUUGCGGGUUCGGUUCGAGUUCGGAUAACCCAUUUAAAUUACUUUUAAAAUUUUAAAAUUCAUUAUAUAUUUAUAUAUUUUAAAUUUCUCAAAAAAAUAUAAACAAAAUAAUAUAUUAAAUAUAAAUUUGAUUAACAUAUGUCAGGAUACCUAAACUUAACAUAUAAUUAUUUUAGUUCAAAUAUUUGGAUAGAUAAUCAAUAAUUAUUUUAAGUAUUUUUAGUGUUUUAAGUAUACUUUUACUAUUUUAUAUAUUUACUAUUGGUUAUUUGUAUAUAUUUUCAAGUAUUUAAACCAGCUUAAAAGUAUCAUAUAUAUUCUAUAUGUUUUUAUAUAUAUUAAAUCUAAAAAUAAUUAAUAUAGAUAAAUAUAUAAAUCUAUUUCAGAUACAUUCGGAUAUUCGGAAUACUUCCAUUCGGAUCGGAUUUGGUUUCAGCUCUCCAAAAACUAAAAUUUGAAUAAUUCGGACAUUUAACCAAAAACUUAAAACGAUGAAAAUGCAAAACAGCAUAUAAAGAAGAACUCAAUCACGAUUCACGAUCAACGGUGAAAUUCCUCUAAAACCGAUCUGAUGAUGAUGCAUCAAAAAGCUGUCAGACUUAAAUAAAAAAUAUAUAUAUAUAUAUAUAUAUCUUAUAUGUGUGUGUGUGAAACCUUAUCAUGUACACAUUAUUCAACAACCUAGUUACGAUAAAGAUGAUGAAGAUAAGUUUGAUGAAAUUCCAAUGCCAAAUAUGUCGAUGAUGAUGAGAAUCAUGAAAUGGACAUUUUGCCUCAAAUCGUGAUCAUGUGGGAACAAGAUUAUUGUGAGCGAAUGUGUGUAUUCUGCAGUAAAACCAUGAUCACGGAUUACUUUAAGAAGAUAUCUUUUUACUGAGAAACAUACAUUGAAAAAUAAGAUGACUAAAUUUUAAGAGGCAUUUGAGCUAUAGCAGGAGAACAAUAUAACCAUUAAGCAUGACUUGAAUUGAAUGAAACACAUAAUAAAUUCCUAUAUGUUAAACAAUAGAUGUGCGGCAUUAUACAACUAUAUGGAAAUGAGAAUACAACUAUCUAGAAAAUAUAAGUGGUCUAAAAAUUGUUUUAGGCGUUAGACUCUCUAGAACCAUAGAGUUUUUUUUAUAAAACGCCUAGGUAAUUAUAAUAGGGUAAUAAUAAAUAAUAAAUAACUUAGUGUUUAUAAAUUGUAGUAAUUACUUUAUUUUAAUAUAAAAUUUUAUAAAAACAAGUAAUAUGAACAUUAGUAUUCGUAAAUCAUGAUACUUAAUCUAUUAUUAGUUAGUCAGUCUAUACGUUUACGGUUUACCAAUUAUAUAUAUAGUAUAUUGUUAUAAUUGGUAAACCGUAAUCAUUUAGGCCAACUAACUAAUAAUUUACUCGUCGGAUAGGUGUUAGGCGUUGAAUCACUAUUCGCUUAACGUCUAAUGAUUUCUUGAACACUAGACUAAAUUGUAGAAUAAACAAAUUUUUAUUUGAAUUGAUUAUAAAAUUGAUAUAACAGAAUAAUAUAUAUAUAUAUAUAUUUAUUUAAUCAUCAAAUACUGAAAAAUAUGAGUGAUUAAUAGUGUCUUCAAUCUUUUUUAUCCAACAUAUCUGAACAUGAAUGAAUUCACACAGUCUUUUGCCUUCUUCACAUCUAUCUAUUUUCUUCUCAUUACACACAACCACAAAGAUAUAAAUAGAUGUUAGGAAAAAAUGUAUAUGCUGAAUGAAUAUAAAUAUAAAUUUAUAUAAAAUUUACAAUUAUUGCCAAAACUUACUCGGAUCUUAAGCUGAAAUACAACGAAUAUUAACACAUUCAAUUCGCAUUGUUUCCCACAUUACUUAGAAUGUUUACCAAAACAUCCGAAUGAAUCUGGUUCGAAUGGACCACUGAUACGUAUGUUAACAAAAAUAUUGAAACGAGUUCAUGCAUGUACCCGAGACGCAGAAUAUAAGGAUGGACAGUCUGGCACACAAUGUCCGGAAACAAUUGUCCGGAAACAAUUGUAUACCUCAUAUUUAAUCAUAUGCAAAACUAACUUAAAAAAGUGAAAACUUAUUAUUUACCCUUUAUGACAAAACAAAAAAAAUCAGGAAUUAUUUUACGAUUCUGACUUUCGCAAGAAUAUCUGGUCCAUCUGCAAAUUCUAUUGUAUAAUCCAAAAAGUAUAUACAGUAGAACCUCCAUAAAUUAUUAAAGUUGGUACUUUGAAAUUUUAUUAAUUUAUAGAGAUAUUAAUUUAAAAAAAUUCAUUAUUAGAUUUCUUAUUUUAAGAUAUAUUUAUUUAAGAUAAGAAAAAUAUUUGAUUUUUGUGCAUAGACAUUAAUUGUUAUUUUUUUUUAAAUCUGACAUUUAUAUUAAUUUUAUUAUAUUAUUUGGUGUAUAUAAUAUAUAUUGUAUUGAACUUAAAUGUGGUUUUAGAUAUAAUAUUACUAAAUAUCAUCAAAAAUAUAUGAAGUGUUAAGAAAAAGUAAAUAUAAUUUCAUUGUUAAUAUAAAACAAACAAUAUAGUAAUAGGUUCUUACUUAUAUAAAAUAUGUAUACAUAUGAACUAUCAAUACAUAUAAACUAUUAAUUUAUAUAUUUACAUAGAAUUUUCUAAGAAAAUAUUAUCUUAUUAUUUUAUUGGUUUCUGUCAAAUUAUAAGUUUAUUAAUUUUCUUGUCUCAUUAUUUCUUAUUAUUGUUACAUGUUUCCCACUUUUUGGAAUCUUUAUUAAUACAAGCCCUCGAAUUCCAUUCAGCUCAUAUCACUAUAAUAAAGUGUCUUCAAGGAUAUUAAUUAGUUGAAAUUGACACCAUACUUGGGCUGUUGAUUGGGAAGAAACAUUCCAAAGAACUUUUCAAACUCAGGACUCUUCUGAUUCUCAUCGAACAUACCGAAUAUAUAAGUCUCGAUAGGUCUCCCUUGUCUUCUAGGAGAUCCACUCUUCACAGUUUGUAUCAAAUUGUUCACAUAAGUCCUUGCAUUAUCCACAUUUGUCGCGGUUCCUCCAGCUGUCGGCCAACCACUCUCCGAGACCACAAUCUCCACCGAUCCUCCUCCUGUUUUCUCCAAUGCCGCAUAAACAGUGUCUACGAGUGCGUGGAAGAGGUUUCGGUAUGCGUUUGACCCAUCAUUGACUACAGUGGACGGUGAAGUGAACAGAGCAUAGUCCAAACGGAUGUCUCUCAUGUUGUUGAUGUAGCUGAAGUAAGGGUAGACAUUCACGAGUAGUGGAGAUUGCUUGCUCACCAAGAAAGCUAUCACGGGAGCGAUAAAGUUUCUAAAUUCAGGUGUGAAUGUCCCACUCGAAGGAGGAAACCCACUAAUGCCUCUGGUGUCUAUAGCCGUGGAGACCUUGAUCCCGAGGCCUGAAACCGCUCUAUCGAUGUUCUGCAUGGCGGGGAGGACGAACCUCGAGGUUGGGUCCGAGGGUUGCACCUCGUUCCCGACCGAGAUGUAACGGAACCUUACACCGUUGAAGUUGCGGACGUUGUUGCGGACCCACGUGUCAGCUUCCGCUUGGCUGGAGGCGAUACGCUGGAGAUCAGGGUUGGGAACAUCGAGCAGAAGGUCGAUGUUAGAGCCUCGCAGAGCGGAGAGAACCUCUUGGUUGGGAUCGUAAAGCCGCAUGCGACGGAUGUUACGGUUGCGGUAAAGAGCCACCGCAUCAGCCGGACGUGGCAGGUUGUUUCCUAUUCUCCCGUAGCACACUCCGAUUUGCGCAGCUACAUAUAUGUAUAUCAAAUUAAUAAUCAUUAUUAAUAGAAAUAAGAUUUACAAUGAUAUUAUCGAUAUCGAUAGGUUAAAGAAGGUAGCUAAACCUGCCGUGUGGAAGAAGGAAGCCAUUAAGAAGCUAAGAAGAAGCAAUAACAAUGGUAGUGAGGCUAAGAACCUCGAUUGAUCACUAGACAUCUUCAUGAAAUAACAAUUGAAGAUGAUCUUAUAAUUUCGAGUUUUGUAUGCUUAGAUGCUUAAAACCGUAGCAUUUUGCGCCUAAUUUAUAGAGGGAAUCGGUGAUCUUAGUCAAUGAAAUGAAACAAAAAGUCAUCGCGUCAUAUCAUCACUAGCUGUGGAAUGUUGUAAAUUAAAUCACCGUUCAUGCAUAUCUCACUAAAUUCAUGCUUUGAAAAGUCUUGUAAGUGUGAGUUUUCUCCACAUGUAAGAGCAGCCCAUCGAUGCGAUCCUAUAAUUAAUGAUUUUUAUAUAUAUAAAGAAAAUUCAAUCAUAUAUGUGAUGGCAUAUGGAGGGAGAUGUUUUCAUAGGUUUCAUGUAAGCUUUAGAGAUAUGAGAACAUAUUUUCAUCGUUCUCCAAUGUUUUAAAAAAACAAUCUAGAUACCCACUAAAUUAAUCUCCUAAUAACAGCUUGGACCUUAAAGAAAAUAGUUUUUGGAUCCUUUACGUUUUUUUUUUGCUUUAGGCUGCAUAAAAAAAAUUAAACCUUUAUGUGUAAUUUUCUGUUGGUAGAUUUUGUUAUGGAACCAAAAGAAAUAAUAUACAUAUAAAAUAAUUUAUGAUUCUUUCUCAAUCUUGUUUUUGUUUUUCUUUGUAAUCCUCUUAUUUUUGUAUAGUUUCGAAAUGCUUAUAUGUUUUUUUUUUUGUUAAAAUGAUAUAGGUGGCUUUAUUUAAUUAUUAGGAUAUGUGAUUGAGCGGGGUGUCGCACUCCAUAAACCUAGCCGGCCCUUGAUGUAGCUCUCAAUAAGGCCUAACCAGCUAGACACUAAAAUCUUACUGUUAAAUGGAACGAAUCGUCCACCGCCUCAAAUUCAAAAAUACCGAGUCUCAAAGACUCAAAGUUUGUGUGGAAACUGCAACUUAUGUUUUUGAAAAUAGGCCAGAUUAAAAUAGUUCAUCCAGAUAACAUAUUUUUAUUUUUUUUUAAAUUUCUCAAAAAAAUAUAAACAAAAUAAUAUAUUAAAUAUAAAUUUGAUUAACAUAUGUCAGGAUACCUAAACUUAACAUAUAAUUAUUUUAGUUCAAAUAUUUGGAUAGAUAAUCAAUAAUUAUUUUAAGUAUUUUUAGUGUUUUAAGUAUACUUUUACUAUUUUAUAUAUUUACUAUUGGUUAUUUGUAUAUAUUUUCAAGUAUUUAAACCAGCUUAAAAGUAUCAUAUAUAUUCUAUAUGUUUUUAUAUAUAUUAAAUCUAAAAAUAAUUAAUAUAUAUAAGUAUAUAAAUCUAUUUCAGAUACAUUCGGAUAUUCGGAAUACUUCCAUUCGGAUCGGAUUUGGUUUCAGCUCUCCAAAAACUAAAAUUUGAAUAAUUCGGACAUUUAACCAAAAACUUAAAACGAUGAAAAUGCAAAACAGCAUAUAAAGAAGAACUCAAUCACGAUUCACGAUCAACGGUGAAAUUCCUCUAAAACCGAUCUGAUGAUGAUGCAUCAAAAAGCUGUCAGACUUAAAUAAAAAAUAUAUAUAUAUAUAUAUAUAUCUUAUAUGUGUGUGUGUGAAACCUUAUCAUGUACACAUUAUUCAACAACCUAGUUACGAUAAAGAUGAUGAAGAUAAGUUUGAUGAAAUUCCAAUGCCAAAUAUGUCGAUGAUGAUGAGAAUCAUGAAAUGGACAUUUUGCCUCAAAUCGUGAUCAUGUGGGAACAAGAUUAUUGUGAGCGAAUGUGUGUAUUCUGCAGUAAAACCAUGAUCACGGAUUACUUUAAGAAGAUAUCUUUUUACUGAGAAACAUACAUUGAAAAAUAAGAUGACUAAAUUUUAAGAGGCAUUUGAGCUAUAGCAGGAGAACAAUAUAACCAUUAAGCAUGACUUGAAUUGAAUGAAACACAUAAUAAAUUCCUAUAUGUUAAACAAUAGAUGUGCGGCAUUAUACAACUAUAUGGAAAUGAGAAUACAACUAUCUAGAAAAUAUAAGUGGUCUAAAAAUUGUUUUAGGCGUUAGACUCUCUAGAACCAUAGAGUUUUUUUUAUAAAACGCCUAGGUAAUUAUAAUAGGGUAAUAAUAAAUAAUAAAUAACUUAGUGUUUAUAAAUUGUAGUAAUUACUUUAUUUUAAUAUAAAAUUUUAUAAAAACAAGUAAUAUGAACAUUAGUAUUCGUAAAUCAUGAUACUUAAUCUAUUAUUAGUUAGUCAGUCUAUACGUUUACGGUUUACCAAUUAUAUAUAUAGUAUAUUGUUAUAAUUGGUAAACCGUAAUCAUUUAGGCCAACUAACUAAUAAUUUACUCGUCGGAUAGGUGUUAGGCGUUGAAUCACUAUUCGCUUAACGUCUAAUGAUUUCUUGAACACUAGACUAAAUUGUAGAAUAAACAAAUUUUUAUUUGAAUUGAUUAUAAAAUUGAUAUAACAGAAUAAUAUAUAUAUAUAUAUAUUUAUUUAAUCAUCAAAUACUGAAAAAUAUGAGUGAUUAAUAGUGUCUUCAAUCUUUUUUAUCCAACAUAUCUGAACAUGAAUGAAUUCACACAGUCUUUUGCCUUCUUCACAUCUAUCUAUUUUCUUCUCAUUACACACAACCACAAAGAUAUAAAUAGAUGUUAGGAAAAAAUGUAUAUGCUGAAUGAAUAUAAAUAUAAAUUUAUAUAAAAUUUACAAUUAUUGCCAAAACUUACUCGGAUCUUAAGCUGAAAUACAACGAAUAUUAACACAUUCAAUUCGCAUUGUUUCCCACAUUACUUAGAAUGUUUACCAAAACAUCCGAAUGAAUCUGGUUCGAAUGGACCACUGAUACGUAUGUUAACAAAAAUAUUGAAACGAGUUCAUGCAUGUACCCGAGACGCAGAAUAUAAGGAUGGACAGUCUGGCACACAAUGUCCGGAAACAAUUGUCCGGAAACAAUUGUAUACCUCAUAUUUAAUCAUAUGCAAAACUAACUUAAAAAAGUGAAAACUUAUUAUUUACCCUUUAUGACAAAACAAAAAAAAUCAGGAAUUAUUUUACGAUUCUGACUUUCGCAAGAAUAUCUGGUCCAUCUGCAAAUUCUAUUGUAUAAUCCAAAAAGUAUAUACAGUAGAACCUCCAUAAAUUAUUAAAGUUGGUACUUUGAAAUUUUAUUAAUUUAUAGAGAUAUUAAUUUAAAAAAAUUCAUUAUUAGAUUUCUUAUUUUAAGAUAUAUUUAUUUAAGAUAAGAAAAAUAUUUGAUUUUUGUGCAUAGACAUUAAUUGUUAUUUUUUUUUAAAUCUGACAUUUAUAUUAAUUUUAUUAUAUUAUUUGGUGUAUAUAAUAUAUAUUGUAUUGAACUUAAAUGUGGUUUUAGAUAUAAUAUUACUAAAUAUCAUCAAAAAUAUAUGAAGUGUUAAGAAAAAGUAAAUAUAAUUUCAUUGUUAAUAUAAAACAAACAAUAUAGUAAUAGGUUCUUACUUAUAUAAAAUAUGUAUACAUAUGAACUAUCAAUACAUAUAAACUAUUAAUUUAUAUAUUUACAUAGAAUUUUCUAAGAAAAUAUUAUCUUAUUAUUUUAUUGGUUUCUGUCAAAUUAUAAGUUUAUUAAUUUUCUUGUCUCAUUAUUUCUUAUUAUUGUUACAUGUUUCCCACUUUUUGGAAUCUUUAUUAAUACAAGCCCUCGAAUUCCAUUCAGCUCAUAUCACUAUAAUAAAGUGUCUUCAAGGAUAUUAAUUAGUUGAAAUUGACACCAUACUUGGGCUGUUGAUUGGGAAGAAACAUUCCAAAGAACUUUUCAAACUCAGGACUCUUCUGAUUCUCAUCGAACAUACCGAAUAUAUAAGUCUCGAUAGGUCUCCCUUGUCUUCUAGGAGAUCCACUCUUCACAGUUUGUAUCAAAUUGUUCACAUAAGUCCUUGCAUUAUCCACAUUUGUCGCGGUUCCUCCAGCUGUCGGCCAACCACUCUCCGAGACCACAAUCUCCACCGAUCCUCCUCCUGUUUUCUCCAAUGCCGCAUAAACAGUGUCUACGAGUGCGUGGAAGAGGUUUCGGUAUGCGUUUGACCCAUCAUUGACUACAGUGGACGGUGAAGUGAACAGAGCAUAGUCCAAACGGAUGUCUCUCAUGUUGUUGAUGUAGCUGAAGUAAGGGUAGACAUUCACGAGUAGUGGAGAUUGCUUGCUCACCAAGAAAGC
RNAcentral lists this long non-coding RNA (8338 nucleotides) under Brassica napus (rape). Its description in RNAcentral is "long non-coding RNA (BNAP_LNC006918)". Lineage: Eukaryota; Viridiplantae; Streptophyta; Magnoliopsida; Brassicales; Brassicaceae. The record is from RNAcentral.